AACACUGUUAACCUGCGGUACCUGCGGAAGGAUCAUUACCGAGUGCGGGCCCUCCGGGUCCAACCUCCCACCCGUGUUUAUUAUACCUUGUUGCUUCGGCGGGCCCGCCAUUCUGGCCGCCGGGGGGCUCGCCCCCGGGCCCGCGCCCGCCGAAGACACCCCUGAACUCUGUCUGAAGCUUGUAGUCUGAGUGGAAUGAUAAAUUAGUUAAAACUUUUAACAAUGGAUCUCAGAUCGGAA
This 240-nucleotide unclassified non-coding RNA is filed under the name soil metagenome. RNAcentral's name for it is "partial contains 5.8S ribosomal RNA, internal transcribed spacer 2, and large subunit ribosomal RNA". The record is from RNAcentral.